GAAAAAGCCACCAGAUGGAGGAAAUUCACACAAAGUUUUGAGAGGCUAGUAACAGCGACUUUAAAAAGAGGAUGAUGAGGGCCGGCCUGGUGGCACAGGGGUUAAGUGCAUGCGUUCCGCUUCGGCGGCCCAGGGUUGGCUGCUUCGGAUCCUGGGUACAAACACGGCACUGCUCAGCAAGCCAUGCUGCGGGAUCAAGUCUUACAGACAAGGUUGACUGGGCUGAGUGAGUCACCGUGAAUCCAGAUUCCCAGGCAACCUCCAAAUCAACAUACAGAUCAGGGCAAAGGCCUGAACCUAAAGGAGGUUGUCUGCCGGGGACACUGACAGUAACCGUGUGGUCAGGAGGUUUGACCAGCACAAUCUGCACCAUGAUGAGGACCACAGAGAUUUUGAAACAAGACAAACCCAGCUCAAGGAAGACAUGGCAGGUCCUGAAGGCUGAGAGCCAGGGUCACCCAGGGACAAGAGCGCACAGUAUAAUCAGAGGCGUCCACAGCCACAGAACACCAGCUAUCAACUUACUCCUCAGACUGGACGCUAAUGAAGCCACUCCCUGCAGAUACACUAGGAGUUCAACAGGUCUCUCUCUCUGUUUUGUGCUGGUCUCAGCCUCUCAAUAACCAGUGUUGUGGUGGGACCAGCCCUUGUGGUUCUUGCUGUGAUUGUGACACGCCCUUCAGCAACAACCGUCAGGAAACUUAAAAAAAAAUAAAUAGAAUUUGUGACUUA
RNAcentral lists this long non-coding RNA (732 nucleotides) under Equus asinus (donkey). Its description in RNAcentral is "lncRNA (ENSEASG00005030741.1)". Lineage: Eukaryota; Metazoa; Chordata; Mammalia; Perissodactyla; Equidae. The record is from RNAcentral.